UACGGGGGGAGCAAGCGUUGUUCGGAUUUACUGGGCGUAAAGGGCGCGUAGGCGGCCAGCGCAAGUCGGUUGUGAAAUCUCCGGGCUUAACUCGGAAAGGUCAACUGAUACUGCGCGGCUAGAGUGCAGAAGGGGCAACUGGAAUUCUCGGUGUAGCGGUGAAAUGCGUAGAUAUCGAGAGGAACACCUGCGGCGAAGGCGGGUUGCUGGGCUGACACUGACGCUGAGGCGCGAAAGCCAGGGGAGCGAACGGG
Molecule: ribosomal RNA, 254 nt
Filed under: uncultured bacterium
Lineage: Bacteria
Description: partial 16S ribosomal RNA
Rfam family: Bacterial small subunit ribosomal RNA
Source: RNAcentral